CUCAAUAAAUGAUGCCUUACAACCUUGAAGUAAUCGCUUUACCUGACCACAAAAUAAAUAAUAUGAAAUUUAAUUUUACAACCAAAACAACAAAAAAUGAGAGUGAAAGAGGAUAUACUGACAAGCGGAAAGCAGCCGACAGGGCACCAAAAUACAGAGAAAUCGAAGCUUCUUGGUUAAAGAACGUUGGUCGAAUGUAGCCUACUAAUGGUGGAAUAGAAGGGUGUUAUGAAAAGAAGCACUCUGUGGGGAUUUUAUU
RNAcentral lists this long non-coding RNA (259 nucleotides) under Nicotiana benthamiana. RNAcentral's name for it is "long non-coding RNA (NBEN_LNC042429)". Lineage: Eukaryota; Viridiplantae; Streptophyta; Magnoliopsida; Solanales; Solanaceae. The record is from RNAcentral.